GGGGAUGUGGCUCAGUAGUAGAGCUCUUGCCUUGAAUGCAUGAGACCCUGGGUUGCAUAUCCAUCACCA
RNAcentral lists this transfer RNA (69 nucleotides) under Cavia porcellus (domestic guinea pig). It matches the Rfam family "tRNA". Rfam says of the family: Transfer RNA (tRNA) molecules are approximately 80 nucleotides in length. Their secondary structure includes four short double-helical elements and three loops (D, anti-codon, and T loops). The record is from Rfam by way of RNAcentral. Lineage: Eukaryota; Metazoa; Chordata; Mammalia; Rodentia; Caviidae.